ACAAGCCGCCCACUCAGUCAAAACUCACGCGUUCCCUUCAAAUCCACUCUCUUUUACUUUCUCAAUAUAAAAAAUUUUCCUUCACUUUCCCGGAAAAUUCACAUGCAAUGCCAAACACAAACGUGUUCUUAUAAUUAGACACCCAUAUAAAUACCACCAAAUCUUUUCCCAGUCCACCCACCAUUUAUCAAUCAACUACCUUCUCUGUCUCUGUACAUAUAAAUCUUGAUUUUAAUUCAUUUUUUUCGGUUCUUGAAAAUGUCGACCGUGAAGCUGUCCGUUUUGCCGAUUGUUGGGUUGAUGAUCUUGGCUCUGUUGCAGAUUGGAUUUGCCCAAACUAUGGCUCCUUCUCUUGCACCAGAAGCUCCGUCUAAUGAUGGCAAGUCAAUUGAUCAAGGAGUUGCUUAUGUUCUUCUAGUUGUGGCACUUGCAAUCACAUACCUUGUUCAUUAAUUAUCUUCUUUUUCUUAGCUAUUAAUUUUUAGUUAAUAUACUCAAUUUUUUUUAUGUAUUUUCUCUGGAUAGAUUUGGAGAAAUUGCAGCAAUUUUUGUAUCUAAAUUAUUUAUUUAUUUUUGUAUCAAGCAACUAUUCAUUUAUAUUGAGAAAUAAAAUACUUUGUUCUAAA
Molecule: long non-coding RNA, 626 nt
Organism: Mercurialis annua (annual mercury)
Lineage: Eukaryota; Viridiplantae; Streptophyta; Magnoliopsida; Malpighiales; Euphorbiaceae
Exons: 2
Source: RefSeq, a predicted model, not a curated record